UAUUUGUCUAAAGUUACAGAUUUGAAACAUUCAGCAGCACGUGACCCCCUGCCAAGAAAUAAUACAACAUGGAAUGAAAAAGAUGGCAACAAUUUACCUGCCUGGGGGAUUGCUUUAAUCGUAAUCCUGGUUGCUGGAGCUGUUUCUGCCUUUAUUUUUUUCAUUGGAAAAAGGGCAAAAUGCUUUGGUAAACCAAUAUCUGUACUUUAGUGGCGAUGAUUUGUGCCUUCAAGCAAAUCACCUCAGGUUGCUCCAGAGGGACUGUGCCUGGAAAACAGUACAUGUUAUACUGUAUAAGCCACUUUGGUAAAAAA
Carassius carassius (crucian carp) is the source of this 314-nucleotide long non-coding RNA. RefSeq lists it as uncharacterized. The transcript has 3 exons. The record is from RefSeq and is a predicted model, not a curated record. NCBI's taxonomy places the organism in Eukaryota, Metazoa, Chordata, Actinopteri, Cypriniformes, Cyprinidae.